UGGGUUUCUUGCCGUUAUUUCGCCAACAAAUUCUGUCUGGUUUCUUUCUCUUUCCCCAUUUUGGAAACCUUGUAGAAUGUGUGUGUUCUUGCCAGCAAGUUGAGGUGUCGUGCUCUGUUGAGAGCAGCUUAGCUAGGCAUCGGCCGGCGUCGCAGGCUGGGAUCAAUGGGCGUGUUGAGAUUAUUUUUGCUCUCUUUCUUGUCUUGGUCGUGUUCUUGGUUCUUGCUGAGCUUGUUCCAUGCGCUCGCAUAGAAGUCUAGCGUGGUUUCGCUCGAUCCCCUCAGGAAACGAGAAAACACAAGAAUGAUGACAUCUGAUCACGGGCAAAACUGAGCUGCUGAGAUUUGCCUCCCCACGGUCGACGAUGCAGCGCUGAUUACUUGCAUGAUGUAGAGCCUAGCGGGAGAUCGGCGCGGCGAACCUGUCUGUGGGCGAGAGCGACGGCGUGCAUGCGUUGCACUCGGCUUGUGCGUGCGUGCGUCCGCGACCCGAGGCUACUAGGAUCAAGGGAAGGAGGACGGCGCGCGCGCGCAUCCACGGCACCCGCUCGGACGGCGAGCCUUGAUCCGGGGUCGCGCGCGUGCUGCCAUUGCCGUGGCGGUGUCGGCGUUGAAGGGCGCUCGCGUCGUGUGGGCUCGUUCCAUCCGUUCCUUCGUGCGCAGGCAGGUUGUUCAGGAAGAAGAAUCUCAAGGAAGACCUGCCGAAACGUGCCAAGCUAAGCUCCUCAUGUCCCAGGCCUCAGGGUCUCAGUGGCAUUUGCUGGAAGGUCCACAAUUUCAGAACUGAGGAUUAUAAACUGAGGAAUGCAACAAAAGUAUCAAAACUUGGCUGCUACACUCCUACAGGUUCCAUAAUUACACAGGCUGCAAGGGGAAAUGAAGUGGAAGAAAGAGGCAUCUAAUGUGGUUAGUGAAUCUUUUCUUUUGAGGGAAAUGUGCUCUGGAGAUUAAUGUGCGGGAACCAGGACUCAUCGACACUUGAGCAGCUCGUGCCAGGCCUUUGGACACAUGGUGAAGCGCGAUCUUUGAGUUUUUUGUUGUUGUUGGCAACCCCCAGCUUGUAUCCCUUCGUUUUUCGCUCUUUUGAGCCAUUCCGCCCUUAUGUGGGUCUGUAAGAACUAGCUCUUGUAAAGUUGUAAUACCUCCAAAAAGGGCUUUAAUAGUCUAAAGCCAGGCGGACGCCUCCUUUCUCAUAAAUGUAACUAUAAUUUUAGAACAUAUAGAACUUGUUCAACCAAUGUAUGCAUUCCUUUUGGCGGAAAAGACCUAAGAUGACAUGUGCAUUAGUGCAACACGUUGUGAGUAUUUCCUAGAAAAGACAGUACUCAAAUCAAUACGUGGGGAUGUACUUUAUGAUCAACAACAGAGUUACGAAACUUUUGUGUCUCAUUAAACUCUCAUAAGAGCAAGGAAAUAAAAUGAAACUAAAUAA
Molecule: long non-coding RNA, 1431 nt
Organism: Triticum aestivum (bread wheat)
Lineage: Eukaryota; Viridiplantae; Streptophyta; Magnoliopsida; Poales; Poaceae
Exons: 6
Source: RefSeq, a predicted model, not a curated record